RNAcentral lists this ribosomal RNA (429 nucleotides) under Bacteroidota bacterium. RNAcentral's name for it is "Bacteroidetes bacterium partial 16S ribosomal RNA". It matches the Rfam family "Bacterial small subunit ribosomal RNA", at positions 355 to 776 of the family's 1533-position model. Lineage: Bacteria; Pseudomonadati; Bacteroidota. The record is from RNAcentral.
UAGGGAAUCUUCCGCAAUGGACGCAAGUCUGACGGAGCAACGCCGCGUGAGUGAAGAAGGAUUUCGGUUCGUAAAACUCUGUUGUUAGAGAAGAACAGCGCAUAGAGUAACUGUUAUGCGUGUGACGGUAUCUAACCAGAAAGCCACGGCUAACUACGUGCCAGCAGCCGCGGUAAUACGUAGGUGGCAAGCGUUGUCCGGAUUUAUUGGGCGUAAAGCGAGCGCAGGCGGUCAAUUAAGUCUGAUGUGAAAGCCCCCGGCUCAACCGGGGAGGGUCAUUGGAAACUGGUUGACUUGAGUGCAGAAGAGGAGAGUGGAAUUCCAUGUGUAGCGGUGAAAUGCGUAGAUAUAUGGGGGAACACCAGUGGCGAAGGCGACUCUCUGGUAUGUAACUGACGCUGAGGCUCGAAAGCGUGGGUAGCAAACAGG